This 274-nucleotide ribosomal RNA is filed under the name uncultured bacterium. Its description in RNAcentral is "partial 16S ribosomal RNA". It matches the Rfam family "Bacterial small subunit ribosomal RNA", at positions 523 to 796 of the family's 1533-position model. The record is from RNAcentral.
AUACGGGGGGUGCAAGCGCUAAUCGGAAUUACUGGGCGUAAAGCGCGCGUAGGCGGUUUGCUCAGUCGGAUGUGAAAGCCCAGGGCUCAACCUUGGAACUGCAUACGAUACUGGCAAACUAGAGUGUGAGAGAGGAUAGUGGAAUUUCCGGUGUAGCGGUGAAAUGCGUAGAUAUCGGAAGGAACAUCAGUGGCGAAGGCGACUGUCUGGCUCAACUCUGACGCUGAGGUGCGAAAGCGUGGGUAGCAAACAGGAUUAGAAACCCCAGUAGUCC